UCAAUAUUAUCAUUCAUUUUGAUGGUUGUAUUUGUGGUUGUAUAUGCCAGAAAAUGUAUGCGAUGCAUACGAAUUCAUUUUAUUCCUCCUGUCAUUGAAGAUAACCCAAACGGCUGGGAUCCUACCUCUGUUUCAGAUGCAUUUAAAGGAAUACCUUAUCAACCAUUCUCUAAAGGAGUUAAACUUGGCAAGGUUUCUGAUUGGUCAAGUACAGCCUAUCAAGAUCGUUGAUACCAAAAUAAAUACUUAAAUCAAUUUGGUGGUGGUAAUCAAUAUGCAUAUUAUCAUGAAGAAGAUGAAUCAACUUUCCAUCUUGUUGACACAAGUCGUCCACAAAAGCCUGUUUACAUGC
Molecule: long non-coding RNA, 352 nt
Organism: Xenia sp. Carnegie-2017
Lineage: Eukaryota; Metazoa; Cnidaria; Anthozoa; Malacalcyonacea; Xeniidae
Exons: 3
Source: RefSeq, a predicted model, not a curated record